This 423-nucleotide ribosomal RNA is filed under the name uncultured Leuconostoc sp. RNAcentral describes it as "bacterial SSU rRNA". It matches the Rfam family "Bacterial small subunit ribosomal RNA", at positions 358 to 774 of the family's 1533-position model. The record is from RNAcentral. Lineage: Bacteria; Bacillati; Bacillota; Bacilli; Lactobacillales; Lactobacillaceae.
GGAAUCUUCCACAAUGGGCGAAAGCCUGAUGGAGCAACGCCGCGUGUGUGAUGAAGGCUUUCGGGUCGUAAAGCACUGUUGUAUGGGAAGAACAGCUAGAAUAGGGAAUGAUUUUAGUUUGACGGUACCAUACCAGAAAGGGACGGCUAAAUACGUGCCAGCAGCCGCGGUAAUACGUAUGUCCCGAGCGUUAUCCGGAUUUAUUGGGCGUAAAGCGAGCGCAGGUGGUUUAUUAAGUCUGGUGUAAAAGGCAGUGGCUCAACCAUUGUAUGCAUUGGAAACUGGUUAACUUGAGUGCAGUAGAGGUAAGUGGAACUCCAUGUGUAGCGGUGGAAUGCGUAGAUAUAUGGAAGAACACCAGUGGCGAAGGCGGCUUACUGGACUGUAACUGACGUUGAGGCUCGAAAGUGUGGGUAGCAAACA